GACGAACGCUGGCGGCGUGCUUAACACAUGCAAGUCGAACGGAAAGGCCCUGCUUGCAGGGUACUCGAGUGGCGAACGGGUGAGUAACACGUGGGUGAUCUGCCCUGCACUUCGGGAUAAGCCUGGGAAACUGGGUCUAAUACCGGACAGGAGCCAUUUUUAGUGUGAUGGUUGGAAAGUUUUUUCGGUGUAGGAUGAGCUCGCGGCCUAUCAGCUUGUUGGUGGGGUAAUGGCCUACCAAGGCGGCGACGGGUAGCCGGCCUGGGAGGGUGGACGGCCACAUUGGGACUGAGAGACGGCCCAGACUCCUACGGGAGGCAGCAGUGGGGAAUAUUGCACAAUGGGCGCAAGCCUGAUGCAGCGACGCCGCGUGGGGGAUGACGGCCUUCGGGUUGUAAACUCCUUUCGCUAGGGACGAAGCUUUUUGUGACGGUACCUAGAUAAGAAGCACCGGCUAACUACGUG
This 465-nucleotide ribosomal RNA is filed under the name uncultured bacterium. Its description in RNAcentral is "partial 16S ribosomal RNA". It matches the Rfam family "Bacterial small subunit ribosomal RNA", at positions 28 to 507 of the family's 1533-position model. The record is from RNAcentral.